This 637-nucleotide long non-coding RNA is filed under the name Chrysemys picta bellii (western painted turtle). RNAcentral describes it as "lncRNA (ENSCPBG00000019864.1)". The record is from RNAcentral. Lineage: Eukaryota; Metazoa; Chordata; Testudines; Emydidae.
GCUGUGACCGGGCGGGACCCGCUGCUGCCGCAUGCCCUGCUCCUAGGGCUGCCACAGAACUAGGAGACCCUUGGAGGUUCUGCUUGGAGGGAUCUGGCUUUGGGAGACUGGAGCUGAAAUCAGCAAGGAGAGGGCAUGUCACUUUAACAGCACAACAGACCGUGGUGUUGUGAUGACAGCAGCGCGGCUCAAGCCCGCGGGAGCCUUGAAGAGCCUUGGUUUUCGAAGGAAUCAUGAAAACUGACUUCUUCAAGAAUGAAAUCAGCAAGGAAACCAGUCCCAUUUGUAAGAUGGUAUGAAAAUAACUAAAAAUCUUGCAGAUUCUUUCAAGAUGAGUGGCCUUUUGGCCUAAAUACACAUUGGUCACUGCGUUCAUCACUGAAGGAAGAAUAAAAUGGAUAAAAAUUCCACCACAAUCACCAGACUGGAAGCUCAUUGAAGUGGUUUGGCACAAGAUGCACCACCUGCAUGCACAUAUUAAACUACUCCACAGGAUGAAUUGUUGGGUGGUAUCCACAAAUACCGAAUACGAUUUUAACUUGGGAAUUUGUAAACAAGUGCAUGGACCUUACUGACAAAGAACUGCCAGCAAAAAUCUAACCAAACUAUUCUAAAGAUAUUUCUCAAGAAUAAGAAA